Pocillopora verrucosa is the source of this 993-nucleotide non-coding RNA. Lineage: Eukaryota; Metazoa; Cnidaria; Anthozoa; Scleractinia; Pocilloporidae. The record is from RefSeq and is a predicted model, not a curated record.
GUCGCUAGUUCUGUGCUGUCAGAGUGACAAGAUUUUGAAUGUCUCGCGUAGCUACUUCGCUUGAUAAUGUUGCUCAAAGUAUUUUGAUAUUUUUGACAACGAAAAAAAUGUCAAACUCAAAGACAGAAUCCAAAAGGAGGAAUUCGAUGAUGCUUUAACUCUCGGAAAGCCUUAAAGAUUGGGAAUUUCCAUGUGAAGCAAUCUUAAAGGAUCCUUAUAGCGCUCCUACGUUUCUAUUGUCUGGUUACAUAACAAUUGACGAAGGCGCCUGAUUACGGAUUGAAGUCUUGCCAAAAAUACAAUUCUGACACCAGGGAAUUAUUUAUGUUAACUAUUACGUCAUUUUACUAAUUCAAGAUCAGUAAUUUAUUGUCAUCAACCGAAAGUGAAUAGCGCCAGAGUUUACAGUCACAAAUGAUAGAAAGGGAAAAUCUCCUUGGAUCGAAUCCAACACAUGCUACGGACUUCAGUUUCAGAAUUAUGAGGUCAUUUUUCAUUUUUCUAUUUUUUCAGUUUCGUGUACCUUUAGGAAUUAAAAUGAACGACGAAACAAAAUCUUUAAAAAAAGGUAUAAACUUUUGAGACGAGGAGGCAGUUUUGCGGUCUGAAGGAAAGAUCCUCCUUAAUGGAGGAAGUGUAAGGACGUCACAAAGCAUGACGUCAGAGCUCAAAGAGGUUCCGUGCGAUUCCUUGUCAAGCCAAUAUAUUGGCUGUUUUUUCCGUUUUUUGGUUGACAAUUUUUCCUUCUUGAUUUAAGACCACUUUUGGAACAGAUUACAUGUAAAACUUCACACACAAGGUUUUUCUAGUUACCAUCGAAUAGCAAAUCCUACUCAGUUUCAUUCAAACAUACCCAAGGAUUGGUGCGUGAUAUAUCAAAUCACUGAGGUUCAUCAAUUGGCACAAAACUCAACCAGCCAAUAUAAGUAAUUGCUAUUUUUGUUUAAAUGUCGUUAACACAUCUAGAAAAUAUCAAUAAAACGUGAACAAUGA